CCUACGGGAGGCAGCAGUGAGGAAUAUUGGUCAAUGGACGAGAGUCUGAACCAGCCAAGUAGCGUGAAGGAUGACUGCCCUAUGGGUUGUAAACUUCUUUUAUAAAGGAAUAAAACGAGGCACGUGUGCCUUUUUGCAUGUACUUUAUGAAUAAGGAUCGGCUAACUCCGUGCCAGCAGCCGCGGUAAUACGGAGGAUCCGAGCGUUAUCCGGAUUUAUUGGGUUUAAAGGGAGCGUAGAUGGGUUGUUAAGUCAGUUGUGAAAGUUUGCGGCUCAACCGUAAAAUUGCAAUUGAUACUGGCAGUCGUGAGUACAGUUGAGGUAAGCGGAAUUCGUGGUGUAGCGGUGAAAUGCUUAGAUAUCACGAAGAACCCCGAUUGCGAAGGUAGCUUACUAAACUGUGACUGACAUUGAUGCUCGAAAGUGUGGGUAUCAAACAGGAUUAGAUACCCGAGUAGUC
RNAcentral lists this ribosomal RNA (460 nucleotides) under uncultured bacterium. RNAcentral's name for it is "partial 16S ribosomal RNA". It matches the Rfam family "Bacterial small subunit ribosomal RNA", at positions 338 to 795 of the family's 1533-position model. The record is from RNAcentral.